RNAcentral lists this ribosomal RNA (108 nucleotides) under uncultured fungus. RNAcentral's name for it is "5.8S ribosomal RNA". It matches the Rfam family "5.8S ribosomal RNA", at positions 1 to 108 of the family's 154-position model. Rfam says of the family: 5.8S ribosomal RNA (5.8S rRNA) is a component of the large subunit of the eukaryotic ribosome. It is transcribed by RNA polymerase I as part of the 45S precursor that also contains 18S and 28S rRNA. The record is from RNAcentral. Lineage: Eukaryota; Fungi. RNAcentral also lists the same sequence under 1 other name.
AACUUUCAACAACGGAUCUCUUGGUUCUGGCAUCGAUGAAGAACGCAGCGAAAUGCGAUAAGUAGUGUGAAUUGCAGAAUUCAGUGAAUCAUCGAAUCUUUGAACGCA